UGUAAAUACAUAUAUUAUGUACUGUAAAAUGUGAACUAAUAGCUGAGUAGUAGCAGUCGAAAACCUUAGGUGAUGGUACAAAUGAGUGUGAGUGUGUGUGAUGAGGGCAAGAUAAGAGAGGGUGAUGGUGUAAGUGUGUCAGCCAGGCUAGACAAACACUCAGUGUGUCAACACAGCCACCCACCCAACACUGUACUCUGACGCUCCUCUACACGGUAUCUUCCUACCCUCGUUUAUCCUCCUCCUUACUGCCCGAAUUAAAGCUCCCGGUUGCACGUGGUUCUAAGGGAAAGUCCAGAGGGGCUAAAGCUUAGGGAGGUUGAAGACUGGGAUACAUACUCCAACACCAACUGCUUAGAUGACAUUAGAGUAGAGUACAUGUUAAACAAGUGUAAAAUAAGUGAGUCUCCUGAAUCAAAAUGGCUGCUAACAAUGAAGUGCUCGCCUUGAUUACUGAUCUGGAUUGCCAAGAGGAUCGUCGUUAUCGUUCACCAUGCUGUGUCAAGAACGAUGACAGCACCAUAAAGGAGGUGGAGUCACUCGUGUAACUUUUUUAUUUGAUCAAACCUGGUUGCAUUUUUUGCAUAAAUUGACUUUACUGAAUUCCUGCACUGGAUUUUAUUCUGCAUGUUUAGAUUUAAUUAUAAUCUGGUGUAAAUCUGUUCAUUUAUAUGGUAGACAUUGUAUACAAGUAUGCCCAAAUUCAAAUACUUGUUUGUCUUACCACAUAAUAACUUCUUUCACUCUCCAUGAUCUUUGCUAUGAAAAAAGCCAAAAAAAAAAAAAAAAAUAAAGAAAUUUGCUGUAUGCUUUUUAAUACAGUCAAAAUACUGUACAUAAAAUACCUUGAAACCUCCUCAGGUACUGUAGCUACAGUACUUUAUUUGCAAGUUUUCAUUACACAGUGUUUCUACUGAUGAACAACUAGUGAAGUUUCAAUUU
Cherax quadricarinatus is the source of this 942-nucleotide non-coding RNA. Lineage: Eukaryota; Metazoa; Arthropoda; Malacostraca; Decapoda; Parastacidae. The record is from RefSeq and is a predicted model, not a curated record.